Molecule: transfer RNA, 73 nt
Filed under: Ailuropoda melanoleuca (giant panda)
Lineage: Eukaryota; Metazoa; Chordata; Mammalia; Carnivora; Ursidae
Rfam family: tRNA
About the family: Transfer RNA (tRNA) molecules are approximately 80 nucleotides in length. Their secondary structure includes four short double-helical elements and three loops (D, anti-codon, and T loops).
Source: Rfam by way of RNAcentral
GCCUGACUGGCUCAGUAGGUAGGGCUUAUGAUUCUUGAUCUCAGGGUUGUGAGUUCAAGCCUCAUGUUGGGUG